RNAcentral lists this ribosomal RNA (497 nucleotides) under uncultured bacterium. RNAcentral's name for it is "partial 16S ribosomal RNA". It matches the Rfam family "Bacterial small subunit ribosomal RNA", at positions 28 to 507 of the family's 1533-position model. The record is from RNAcentral.
GAUGAACGCUGGCGGCGUGCCUAAUACAUGCGAGUCGAGCGAACAGAUGAGGAGCUUGCUCCUCUGACGUUAGCGGCGGACGGGUGAGUAACACGUGGAUAACCUACCUAUAAGACUGGGAUAACUUCGGGAAACCGGAGCUAAUACCGGAUAAUAUAUUGAACCGCAUGGUUCAAUAGUGAAAGACGGUUUUGCUGUCACUUAUAGAUGGAUCCGCGCCGCAUUAGCUAGUUGGUAAGGUAACGGCUUACCAAGGCAACGAUGCGUAGCCGACCCGAGAGGGUGAUCGGCCACACUGGAACUGAGACACGGUCCAGACUCCUACGGGAGGCAGCAGUAGGGAAUCUUCCGCAAUGGGCGAAAGCUUGACGGAGCAACGCCGCGUGAGUGAUGAAGGUCUUCGGAUCGUAAAACUCUGUUAUUAGGGAAGAACAAAUGUGUAAGUAACUAUGCACGUCUUGACGGUACCUAAUCAGAAAGCCACGGCUAACUACGUG